This is a long non-coding RNA of Musa acuminata AAA Group (dessert banana), 755 nucleotides long. RefSeq lists it as uncharacterized. The transcript is spliced from 3 exons. Lineage: Eukaryota; Viridiplantae; Streptophyta; Magnoliopsida; Zingiberales; Musaceae. The record is from RefSeq and is a predicted model, not a curated record.
AACCGGGAGAUGAUGGAGUUCGGGGCUCAGCAGCAUAGGGCUUGGGGAAUGGAUUCUUCCCGAACCGCUGCAGGAUAAUCCACAAACAGAUGAUGGAACUGUGGCUCCUUCACACAUCAGGCCUACUCCUGAAAUUUCUGGCUGGAGAGUUUAGAAAACUGGAGUUCUCCUUCGAAUUGAGCCCACCACACUGAGGCAUAAGGAUCUUCCAGAAGACAAAUUCCAAGACAACCAUGUCGAUGAUGAAUUAUGCUACGGAUGUACACGGCAUAUUUUCCAGAGACUUUUAGGUGGAAGGAAACAGCGCAGGGAGGCAUUAACUUCAGUUACAGAGAAGUCGUUCAGAUGUCGCUUUCUCGCGUUCUUUUUCAUCACUAAAUUUAAGCGGAAAUAAUGCCGACUCUUUAUACAUUGCAGUUGUGACUUGAAAGGCACUGUUUCAAAAUUAUCCUGAGAGGAUAACAAGACUCAUCGAUGCAUCACAACCCAUUCCAGAAAGCUAGAAAGGCAUUCUGUUCUCGGGGAAGAUGAGAUGCAUGAAUAGUUCGACAGCCUUGCGCAUAUCUCCAGCAACAAAAGAAUGACAGUGCCCUGCUUUUUCCUUCCCCCAAGAAGGAGAGAGGAAGAAUCCACCAAAGCAUGCAUCGGUACUGAAGGAAUGAACAGGUCAUAUUUCCAGCAACCAAAGGAUAAAUAGGUUUAUAGCAAUGAAUAGGUCCCACUACGCACUGCACCACGAGGGUUUAAGUCUAUAG